GCCGCAAUAGCUCAGCUGGUAGAGCACGUCAUUCGUAAUGACGGGGUCGCAGGUUCGAGUCCUGCUUGCGGCA
RNAcentral lists this transfer RNA (73 nucleotides) under Rhodopseudomonas sp. It matches the Rfam family "tRNA". From Rfam's summary of the family: Transfer RNA (tRNA) molecules are approximately 80 nucleotides in length. Their secondary structure includes four short double-helical elements and three loops (D, anti-codon, and T loops). Further hydrogen bonds mediate the characteristic L-shaped molecular structure. tRNAs have two regions of fundamental functional importance: the anti-codon, which is responsible for specific mRNA codon recognition, and the 3' end, to which the tRNAs corresponding amino acid is attached (by aminoacyl-tRNA synthetases). tRNAs cope with the degeneracy of the genetic code in two manners: having more than one tRNA (with a specific anti-codon) for a particular amino acid; and 'wobble' base-pairing, i.e. permitting non-standard base-pairing at the 3rd anti-codon position. Lineage: Bacteria; Pseudomonadati; Pseudomonadota; Alphaproteobacteria; Hyphomicrobiales; Nitrobacteraceae. The record is from Rfam by way of RNAcentral.